UAGUUUCGGAGCCUAUUCAAUACAAACAA
Molecule: small RNA, 29 nt
Filed under: Bombyx mori (domestic silkworm)
Lineage: Eukaryota; Metazoa; Arthropoda; Insecta; Lepidoptera; Bombycidae
Description: ovarian small RNA-23216
Source: RNAcentral